UCUCCUUUUGGUUUGGGACUUCAGUGAUU
This 29-nucleotide non-coding RNA is filed under the name Mus musculus (house mouse). The record is from RNAcentral. Lineage: Eukaryota; Metazoa; Chordata; Mammalia; Rodentia; Muridae.